CCUACGGGUGUCAGCAGUGGGGGAUAUUGCACAAUGGGGGAAACCCUGAUGCAGCGACGCCGCGUGAGUGAAGAAGCGCCUCGGCGCGUAAAGCCCUAUCAGCAGGGAAGAAAAUGACGGUACCUGACUAAGAAGCCCCGGCUAACUACGUGCCAGCAGCCGCGGUAAUACGUAGGGGGCAAGCGUUAUCCGGAUUUACUGGGGGUAAGGGGGGCGCAGACGGCGCUGCAAGCCAGGAGUGAAAGCCCGGGGCGCAACCCCGGGACUGCUCUUGGAACUGCGGGGCUGGAGUGCAGGAGGGGCAGGCGGAAUUCCUGGUGUAGCGGUGAAAUGCGUAGAUAUCAGGAGGAACACCGGUGGCGAAGGCGGCCUGCUGGACUGCAACUGACGUUGAGGCCCGAAAGUGCGGGGAUCGAACAGGAUUAGAUACCCGAGUAGUC
This 440-nucleotide ribosomal RNA is filed under the name uncultured bacterium. RNAcentral describes it as "partial 16S ribosomal RNA". It matches the Rfam family "Bacterial small subunit ribosomal RNA", at positions 338 to 795 of the family's 1533-position model. The record is from RNAcentral.